RNAcentral lists this ribosomal RNA (253 nucleotides) under uncultured bacterium. RNAcentral describes it as "partial 16S ribosomal RNA". It matches the Rfam family "Bacterial small subunit ribosomal RNA", at positions 524 to 776 of the family's 1533-position model. The record is from RNAcentral.
UACGGAGGGUGCGAGCGUUAAUCGGAAUUACUGGGCGUAAAGCGCACGCAGGCGGUUUGUUAAGCUAGAUGUGAAAGCCCCGGGCUCAACCUGGGAUGGUCAUUUAGAACUGGCAGACUAGAAUCUUGGAGAGGGGAGUGGAAUUCCAGGUGUAGCGGUGAAAUGCGUAGAUAUCUGGAGGAAUAUCAGUGGCGAAGGCGACUCCCUGGCCAAAGACUGACGCUCAUGUGCGAAAGUGUGGGUAGCGAACAGG